AUUGAACGCUGGCGGCAGGCCUAACACAUGCAAGUCGAGCGGAUGAAGGGAGCUUGCUCCUGGAUUCAGCGGCGGACGGGUGAGUAAUGCCUAGGAAUCUGCCUGGUAGUGGGGGAUAACGUCCGGAAACGGGCGCUAAUACCGCAUACGUCCUGAGGGAGAAAGUGGGGGAUCUUCGGACCUCACGCUAUCAGAUGAGCCUAGGUCGGAUUAGCUAGUUGGUGGGGUAAAGGCCUACCAAGGCGACGAUCCGUAACUGGUCUGAGAGGAUGAUCAGUCACACUGGAACUGGAACACGGUCCAACCCCCAACGGAGGGAAGCGGUGGGAAAUUUUGGCAAAUGGGGGAAGGCCUAAUCAGGCCAGGCCGGGGGUGUAAAGAAGGUCUUCGAAUGGUAAAGCAUUUUAAGUUGGGAGAAAGGGCAGUAAGUUAAUACCUUGCUGUUUUAACGUUACCAACAAAAUAGGCACCGGCAACCUUCGU
Molecule: ribosomal RNA, 483 nt
Filed under: uncultured bacterium
Lineage: Bacteria
Description: partial 16S ribosomal RNA
Rfam family: Bacterial small subunit ribosomal RNA
Source: RNAcentral